GUUGGGGUUGUGUGUGUUUGUGUCAUUGGUGUCAUCAUCUUGUGUAAAAGCAGGAAAAAUACAAGUAUUGACCAAAGUGGAAAAGAGGAUUUUAUGAAAAUGUAGCAGUGAAUAGAGUCAACGCUGCAUCUGAUUCAGCCUCAGCCAAUCAGAAUGAAGACCUGUAUGCUAAAGUUGUUUGCCAGCGUGCUGUUGAUCUCGGGGAUGCUGGAAGUUCUGCUGCAAUCACUUCUGCCUCUGGGGAGGACGAGGUUCAGUACGCUAGUGUUAAAUUUACACGCACUGGUGCUGAUGACAGGUCUUCCAAUGCUGAGGAUCUCAGUGUCGUCUACAGCAACAUGAAAUGAACAAAAUUUACAUGUUUGUUUCUGAUGUGUAAAGUUUGUGUGUCACAAAAUCAGCCUGAAAAUCAUCACAGUGUAAAUCCAGUUUUAGAUCUUCUGUCGUCUUCUGGACCCUCGCUGUGUAAAAACCAACAGAUCUCAAGUAAUGUAAUGCAAAAAAGUGAAUGAGAGGAUAUUGUAUAAGUGUAAAUAUUACCAGGAUUCAACUGUAAGCUGUCAGUCAGAGAUAUUUAGAUAGAGAUAACAAUCUCCGCCCACUAACUCAGAAUCCAGUUGAAAGACCAAUCAAAUUUAAGAUUGGAUUUUUGAACCAAUUAGAUUUGUUCAAAAUGAAACAAAAUUGUUUCCUAAAAUUUCUUCUUCACAAAGGAGUCAAAAAUCAGCCAACAGUCCAGAAUAACAUUAGUUACCUGAAAUAUGUUCUAGGAUAAUUGCUUUUGCUCAUUUGUAUGACACAAUUUAUAUAUAAUUUUUAAUCACAAGCUUAAAUAUAUUUACAUUUUAAUAUUACAUUUGCUAUUUUUUUUCUUUUUUUUGUUUGUAGUGUUUAUCAUGUGUACUCUGGAGUGUUAAUUUGCAGUGUGUAUUUAAAUUCGUUCAUUUAAUUGUAUGUAUUUAUAUAUUUCUUUUUUUUUAUAUUUCUUUAUUCUUUUUACUUCAGUAUCUGGGUGAAUGUCGGUGUUUAGAUCCUAUAACUGGUGUGUUUCUCUCCAUGACCACCUUCUCACGUGACUCAUUCACCCUGAAGGAAGA
Long non-coding RNA from Silurus meridionalis, 1097 nucleotides. RefSeq lists it as uncharacterized. The transcript has 4 exons. NCBI's taxonomy places the organism in Eukaryota, Metazoa, Chordata, Actinopteri, Siluriformes, Siluridae. The record is from RefSeq and is a predicted model, not a curated record.